GGAGAGUUGGCAGAGUGGUCGAAUGCGGCGGUCUUGAAAACCGUUGUGCCGCGAGGUACCCGGGGUUCGAAUCCCUGACUCUCCG
RNAcentral lists this transfer RNA (85 nucleotides) under Planctomycetota bacterium. RNAcentral's name for it is "tRNA-Ser". It matches the Rfam family "tRNA". Rfam says of the family: Transfer RNA (tRNA) molecules are approximately 80 nucleotides in length. Their secondary structure includes four short double-helical elements and three loops (D, anti-codon, and T loops). The record is from RNAcentral. Lineage: Bacteria; Pseudomonadati; Planctomycetota.